This is an RNA transcript of Jatropha curcas, 3070 nucleotides long. It is a transcript of the gene named RINT-1 / TIP-1 family, with no coding region annotated. The record is from RefSeq and is a predicted model, not a curated record. Lineage: Eukaryota; Viridiplantae; Streptophyta; Magnoliopsida; Malpighiales; Euphorbiaceae.
GAGUUUGGCUGCAAGACGGACGCAGACACAGUACCUCUCUUUCUCUGGAAGCAAAAAACAAACUAAACUAACCAAGCAUUCAUCUUCUUGGCUCGCUCGCUGAUACAAAAAUCAAACCAAAUACCCGAACUACCCUCACUCUCCGAUCAUAUUUACCUAUUCAAUGGCUUAAUUAAGCUUUAAUUAUGGACUCAACCAUCCAAAUUCUGCCUCCGUCCUCAAGUCUCUCUUCAUCAGUUGUCUCAUUUCUCAAUGACAGACUCCACACUCAACGAGAUCUCACGACGGUGCCCCGCCUUGUUUCCGAGCUACAAUCACAGUGUUUGAAUUUGGACCAAACCCUACUCAGCCUCAACUCCAGGCUUGAAUCAAGUCUUCUCGCUUACUCUUCCUUCUCCGAUCGAAUUCAUGGCGUAUUUACCGAUGCCAGUUCCAAGUUGACCGAACUCGCCUCGUUGACGCGCGAUUCUACUUCUCUAUCAGAUGGUGUAGAAGGAGAAGGGAAGAAAGGGAAGAUAUUGGGCGAGGAACUGCCAGCACUAGCUAAGGAGGUAGCGAGAGUGGAAACUGUCCGAACAUAUGCUGAUUGUGGUUGCUGCCAUUUGAUUGGUGUCUCUGCCUUCUUUCUAAUGUCUCAGCUGCUUUCUGCUUUUAGUAUUCCAAAGACAGCAUUGAAGCUUGACAAUUUAGUUGGUGACAUUGAAGAUGCUGUAUCUUCUGCUAUGAGCAAAAAGCUAAGGAAGCCUUCCUCUACACAGAAUUCAGAAGAAAUGCGUCUGCUUGCUAUUGAAACACUUCGGAAAACAGAAAGCUUUUUAACUUCAAUCACAAAGGCACACCCUCAGUGGACACAUCUUGUAUUGGCAGUUGAUCACAGAGUAGAUAGAGCUUUGGCCAUUUUAAGACCCCAGGCAAUUGCAGAUCAUAGGGCCCUUCUUACUUCUCUUGGAUGGCCACCGCCACUUUCCACCUUGACUUCCUCAAAUCUUGAUACUGGGAAAUCGACUGAAGUUCCAAGUCCUCUUUUCACUAUGCAAGGGGACCUCAAAAAUCAGUAUUGUGAAAACUUUCUUGCCUUGUGCCAUUUGCAAGAAUUGCAGAGGCGAAGAAAAUCUCGGCAACUAGAGGGUCAUAAUACAGAAGUUGCUCUUCACCAGCCACUUUGGGCAAUCGAAGAACUUGUGAACCCUAUAUCAGUUGCAUGCCAACGUCAUUUUUCAAAGUGGAUUAAUAAGUUGGAAUUCAUUUUUGCUCUUGUAUAUAAGAUUACGAGCGAUUAUGUUGACACCAUGGAUGAAUUAUUGCAACCAUUAGUUGAUGAAGCAAGGUUAGUAGGGUACAGUUGCAGAGAGGAAUGGAUUUCAGCAAUGGUAACAUCUUUAUCAACAUACUUAGCAAAAGAGGUAUUCACUAUUUAUGUUGGUCAACUGGAUGAAGAGAGUGUUGCUGGUGUUCAAUCACAGGGAAUAUCAUGGCUCCAUCUUAUUGACUUGAUGAUUGCUUUUGAUAAACGAAUUCAGUCUCUGAUGUCACAUUCUGGAAUCAUGGCUUCCCUUCAGGAAGAUGAAAACUUGCAGAAGAUUUCUUCACUAUCCAUUUUCUGUGACCGACCUGACUGGCUUGAUCUAUGGGCAGAAAUAGAGCUCAGUGACAUAGUUGAGAAGCUAAAACCUGAGGUAGAUGAUGAUAGAAAUUGGACAAUGAAAAUUGAAGGAACUGCUCUUUUAUCUGGUCCUGAAAACUAUAAAUCUCCAGUGGUUUCUGUUGCCUUCCUUCGGCGUAUAUCAUUGCUGGUUGAUCGAUGUCGAUCACUGCCUACCAUCUCUCUGAGGUCUAGGUUUCUCAGAUUGGCUGGCGCCCCCGUUAUACGGAGAUUUUUGGAUUUUGCUCUUCUGAGGUGCCAAGAGGCUGAAGGUUUGACUGCACUAACAGAUGAUGAUGCUCUAAUCAAAGUUGCGAAUUCCAUAAAUGCUGCUCGCUACUUUGAGUCUGUUUUAAAGGAAUGGUGUGAGGACAUUUUCUUCCUUGAAAUGGGAUUUGAUCAUGGUGAUCAACUGGGAAUAUCAAUUACUAACAAUGAAGCCAGGGAGGAGCCUGUUAGUGGCAUUUUUGACGAGGAGAUAAGAAAAUUGGAGGAAUUUAGAAAAGAGUGGGUUGAGAAGAUAUCAGUUGUUAUUUUGAGGGGAUUUGAUGCUAGGUGCCGGGAUUAUGUGAAAAACAGGAGGCAGUGGCAAGAGAAGGGUGAAGAAGGUUGGACGGUGUCCAAAAAUUUAGUUGGGGCUUUAGAUCAUUUACAAGGAAAGAUGGCAAUAAUGGAAGAAAAUUUGAAUGCCAUGGAUUUUGUUGGUGUAUGGAGAAGUUUGGCUGCUGGAGUUGAUCGAUUGCUUUUCAAUGGUGUUCUUAUGAGCAAUGUGAAGUUUCAUGAUUGUGGCAUUGAAAGGUUUAAUAAUGACAUGGAGGUUUUGUUUGGGGUAUUUGGAGCUUGGUGCUUGAGACCAGAAGGCUUUUUCCCCAAAGUAAGUGAUGGCAUGAAGUUGCUAAAGAUGGGGGAAGAGCAGCUUCGUGAUAAUUUGGCAGGAGGAGAGAAAUGGUUGAAGGAGAAUGGAAUAAGAAAUUUGGGUGCAGCUGAGGCUGAAAAGAUAAUAAACAGUAGAGUAUUCAUGAGUUAAGGGGCUUUCCAAAUUAAAACCCUGUUUCUUAGCCUUGUCUACCCGGAGGAUUAGCAAACUUGGAAGUAAAACAGGGAGGUCAUCCUUCAUUUGCAGUAUGUUCAAAAUCUUUUCACCUUCCUGAACUGGAAAUGCAAAUCACAGCAUCAAAAGCUACGGGAAAACAAGAAAUGGUAAAUAUUUCAGUUUUCGUUGUUUUGAAUGUGCAAAUCACAGCCCUAAUUAUUUAGCUGUGACAGUGAAAGUUUAAAUUGUCAGUGUACUGCAUGCACAUGCUUAUGUGAAUGAUUUAACGGUUGCUGUAUUCAGAAAUUUGCAUGUGCAUAGUAUGUCGAAGUGUCGCUAUAAGAAAUAAUGUACAAUUUUUUUUUUUGUCAAACAUUUCUGCCCACUCGGCGUUA